GGGAUCCAUACCUUAUGCUUGUCUCAGAACAUUCCCAUUGGCCUCAUUAGGGCACUGAUUUUGUUCUCAUCAAACUGACUUCUCAGUAGCUUGGAUGUUACUUUGCAGAGGCCUAUUCUCCUCUAUAAUCGUCACAAUCUCCUACUUACAUGCAUGGCUCGUUUAAACCUGGAGACCACUCCACCAAGUGGCUAUAGCAUCAUCUGUCAUGGACAUCUGUUGCUGCUGGCUUGGCAUCCAUCACCCCCUUUCCAGGCAAUAGCAUUUUGUCUUUUGGGGAACCACUCCCCAUUCUCAGCUCUAGUGGGGCUCAUCCCAUCGCUCUUAUUCCAGGGCCUGGCCAAUCAGAAUAUGAUUAUCUCCUGGCUUCAAUGAUUGGUCCAGGUAUCGUCAUAUGAUCCAAGCAAGGUCAAUGAGAAUUAUUCCAGAACUUGCAUGAAAAAGAACUUUUUUUGCUCUGUGGCUCUUUAGGGUGUUGGAUGUAAUCUUGAUGUGCUGCCCCGAGGGGUCCUAUGAUUUAAGAAGAAUGAAGCAAUGCAGAGAGUUAGAAUUAAGAGGUUUAAGAGAGCGUCUGUGACUUGGCUACUUUGUUUGUGUGCCUCAACUGUAAUUCAGAUACCUGAGUCAGAAAAAACUCCCUUUUAAUGCAAAUGCUUCUUUGAGUUGGGUUUUCUGUCACUUGCAAGUGACAGAUUAGGAUAUAGCCUCAUUCAAGAGGACAUUGAGGCUCACAGAAGUGAAAUAACCUGCCCAGGAUACCCAGUUACUCCAGCGUGAUCCCAUUUCUUUUGGCUGCAAAGACUGUUUCUUCCACUAUUCCAUGCUGACUUUAAAUACAUUUGUGACACAUUUCACAAUAUGCAGAGUACUUUCACAUGACUUAUGCUGCACAGUAAUUUGCUGUUCCCAGCACAGGGCUAAUUUUUUCGGGGGUCUUUUUUAGGGCCACACCCACUGCAUAUGAAGGUUCCUAGGCUAGAGAUCUAAUUGGAGCUACAGCUGCCAGCCUACACCACAGCCACAGCAAAGUGGGAUCUGAGCCGUGUCUGUGACCUACACCAGUAGAGAAACCAGUAACCCAGUGAAGAAAAUCUUUUCUUAGCAGUAGAUUUCUACCCUUAGCACUCCACAUCCCUCCUCAUUUCAGGAGACCCAUGUGAUGUGUGAACACCUGAUCAACUGCUUGAGGUAGAGGUGAAGAUGAGUUCCUAAGCAUUAAGCUUGAAGAUCAAUAGAUAGGUGGUUCUAUCUAACUAACAACCAGGCUCAUAUUUGGUUGAGUGGGUUGGCACUCUAAGGCUGAGAACUGAAUAUCUUUGGGACAAUAGAGCAUAUUUUUUUAGAGGCUGAGAAAAAGGAAGAGGAAGAGAAGGAACAAAGAUAAACUGGCCAGCAGGGGAGAAGACUGAGGGGAAAGAAAAAAAAAUUUAAAGAGACUUUUAUGAAAUUUUGUCAUAUUGUGUGCAGUAUAAACUUUCCCUCCUGCCUUCCCAAGAAGUCUCCAGUAAAACAGACUUUUCUUAUUAAUGUGUUGUGUAGUUUAAUUUCUUUUGAGAAUGCAUUGAAAUGCUGAGUCCUAGUUCAAGGUGGGCAUGUGGGCACAAAACUUGCUCACUUGCCACAUCUGGGACACAUAUUUUUUGGAGCAUCUACCAUGUGCCAGGUACAAUACCAAGCACUGAGGUUACGGAAGACUAGACAUGGUCUUAGCUCCUAAGAAAUGUACAGUCUUUUGGCAGAGCAUGUAUGGAAAUAGUUACAGUGGAAAACUUCAAUCUGGGAGGCCAAAGAGCAGAGUUGUUCUAAAAGGAUAUUAAAAGUGAUCAUUUACUUAAAGACAGACGUGUAGCCAAUGGAAUAAAGAGCCCAGGAAUAAACUCUCACAUAUACGGUCAAAUGAUUUUCAACUAGAAUGCCAAUACCAUUCAAUGGGGAAAGGAUGGUCUUUUCAACAAAUAGUUUUGGGAAAACUGUUUAUAGACAUGCAAAUGAAUGAAAUUGGAUUCUUAUCUUACACCAUAUGAAAAAAAAUUACCUUGAAAUGGAUUAAAGAUUUAAAUGUAAGAGCUAAAACUAUAAAACUCUUAAAAGAAAAAAAUGGGAAAACUUCAUGACAUUGAAUUUGGCAAUGAUUUCUUGAUAUACAACGAAAGCACAGGAAACAAAAGAAGAAAUAAAUAGGACUACAUCUAAAUUAAAACUUCUGUGCAACAAAGGACACACUAACAGAGUGAAAAGGCAACCAACAGAAUGAGAGAAAAUAUUUGCAAAUUACCUAUCUGAUAUGGGGUUAAUAUCCAGAAUACAUAAAGAACUCCUACAACUCAACCGCAAAAAACAAACACCCUGAUUGAAAAUGGGUGCAGGACAUUUCUCAAGAGAGGAGAAACAAGUGGCCAAUAAGCACAUGAACAGAUGUUCAGCAUCACAAAUCACUAGAGAAAUGUAAAUCAAAACCCAAGAUAAGAUACUGUUUCAUAUCCAUUAGAUGGCCACUAUCAAAACAGAAAAUGAAUUUUUUUUUUUUUGUCUUUUGUUGUUGUUGUUGCUAUUUCUUGGGCCGCUCCCGUGGCAUAUGGAGGUUCCCAGGCUAGGGGUUGAAUCGGAGCUGUAGCCACCGGCCUACGCCAGAGCCACAGCAAUGCGGGAUCCGAGCCGCGUCUGCAACCUACACGGCAGCUCACGGCAAUGCUGGAUCGUUAACCCACUGAGCAAGGGCAGGGACCGAACCCGCAACCUCAUGGUUCCUAGUCGGAUUCGUUAACCACUGCGCCACGACGGGAACUCCAGAAAAUGAAUUGUUAAUGAGAAUGUGGAGAAAUUGGAACCCUUGUCCACGUUUAUUGGAAAUGUAGAAUGGUAAAGCCAUUGUGGAAAACAGUAUGGCAGUUACUUAAAAGAGUAAAAAUAGAAUUACCAUAAGUGUCCAUCAAUAAUGAGUGGAUAAACAUAAUGCGGUAUAUCCAAACUAUGGAAUAUUAUGUAGGCUUAAAAAAAGAAUGCACUUCUGACAUAUGCUACUGCAUGGAUGAACCUUGAGACAUUAUGCUAAAUGAAAUGUCCUAGUCACAAAAGGGCAAAUGCUAUUUGAUUCCACUUAUAUAAGAGACCUAGAGUAGUCAAAAUCAGAGACAGAAUGUAGAAAGAAGUUUCUAGGAGCUGGGGAGUUUAAUGGGUGCAGGGUUUCAGUUUGAGAUGAUGAAAAUUUUCCUGAGAUGGAUGGUGGUGAUGGUUGUACAACAGUGUGAAUAUACUUAAUGUCACUGAACUAUACAUUGAAAAAUGGUUAAGAUGGUCAAUCAUAUGUGUGUGUGUGUUUUUUUUUUUUUUUUUUUUACCAUGGUCAGGAUUUUUUUUUUUUGGCCAUGCCAUGCCACGUGGAAGUUCCUGGGUUAGGGAUCAAACCCAUGCCACAGUAGCAACCUGAGCUACUGCGGUGCCAACACCAGACCCUUAACCUGCUGUGCCACAAGGGAACUCCAGAUUUUUUUUUAAGUAAAAAAAAAGUGAUCACAUUUAAAAAUCACACCAGUGUAAAGACUGAGAACAUUUUGUACCAUGAAGAAAUAGUGUGAUCCAGUGGACUGUGGAUAACUGGUGAUGGCUCCCCAAAGGCAGGCUGUCAUAGACGAUGGCCGUGGCAUUCAUUGCUGUGGACCUGUGGCUGUAGAAAUUUUGACAGUUUUUGGACAUUUAUCUAUUGUGGCAUGUAAAAAUGUAAACUUAAAUUUUUUUUUUUGUCUUUCUGUCUUUUUGUCUUUUUUGUUGUUGUUGUUGUUGUUGCUAUUUCUUGGGCCGCUCCCGUGGCAUAUGGAGGUUCCCAGGCUAGGGGUCAAAUUAAAGCUGUAGCCGCCAGCCUACACCACAGCCACAGCAACAUCAGAUCUGAGCCACGUCUUCAACCUACACCACAGCUCAUGGCAUCGCUGGAUCCUUAACCCACUGAGCAAGGCCAGGGAUUGAACCCGCAACCUUAUGGUUACUGGUUGGAUUUGUUUCCUCUGUGCCACAAUGGGAAUUCCAAUUAGAGAUGUUGAGAGCCCUUUUCAUUUAUCUGUUGGCCAUUUGUAUGUCUUCUUUGGAAAAAUGUCUGUUUAGGCACUUUGUCCUUUUUAAAUUGGAUUAUUUAUUUUUUGCUAUUUAGUUAUCUGAUUCUUUAUGUGUUUUGGAUCUUAACCCCUUAUCAGAUGAUUUGCAAAUAUUUUCUCCCAUUCUGUUGGUGGCCUUUUCAUUUUGUCGAUGGUUUCCUUUGUUGUGCAGAAGUGCUUUUUUAGUUCUCUUAUUUUGUUGAUUGCACUUUAGGUGUCAUAUCCAAGAAAUCAUUGCCAAGAUUCUGAUUUUUAUCAUCAUGGAGUAGUUUUGUCUGUCCUGUGAAAGGAAGCAUAGAGGAUUGACUCAUUUGAUACAUGCAUGUUUAAAAAAUAGAAAAAAACCCAGGAGUUCCCAUUAUAGAUCAAUGGGUUGAGAACCUGCUAUCUCUUUGAGGAUGCAGUUUGGAUCCCUGGCCUUGCUCAGUGGGUUAAGGCACUGGUGUUGCUGCAAGCUGUGGCAUAGGUCUCAGAUGCAGCUUGGAUCUCGUAUUGCUGUGGUUGUGGUGUAGGCCUCAGCUGCAGCUCCG
RNAcentral lists this long non-coding RNA (4618 nucleotides) under Sus scrofa (pig). RNAcentral's name for it is "lncRNA (ENSSSCG00005041981.1)". Lineage: Eukaryota; Metazoa; Chordata; Mammalia; Artiodactyla; Suidae. The record is from RNAcentral.